GGGUACAUGGUCUAGUGGUAUGAUUUUCGUUUCGCAGCUUUGCUCCAUCGCAGCUUCGCUUAUGAAAGGUCCCCGGUUCAAUCCCGGGUGUAUCCA
Chaetomium fimeti is the source of this 96-nucleotide non-coding RNA. NCBI's taxonomy places the organism in Eukaryota, Fungi, Ascomycota, Sordariomycetes, Sordariales, Chaetomiaceae. The record is from the annotation of a RefSeq genome assembly.